GUUCCUGUGACAAGGCUUUACUCACAAUAGUAGCAAUUGAUCAGAGACAAACCCAUGAUUGCAGAGUUCAAGACCAGAUGGCCAGGACUGUUCACUGUGCCUGAGGUGGAAGCAGUAUUUCUGAGGAUUACCACUGUUCCCCUCGUCACAACAUUUUUUUGCGCAACUUGACCACCACGCUGAUCAGCUCAUCAGAGUGCUGAAGAAGACAGGUGGAUCUAAAGGAAAGAAAAUUAACCUCACCUUUGCCGCGACUGCACAGAAUGAAACUGUUGAAAAGAAGAGGGAGUGCCUCCUCAGGGCACUUUGUAUCUAUCUAAAUGGAGAUCCGA
Molecule: long non-coding RNA, 332 nt
Organism: Sinocyclocheilus anshuiensis
Lineage: Eukaryota; Metazoa; Chordata; Actinopteri; Cypriniformes; Cyprinidae
Exons: 4
Source: RefSeq, a predicted model, not a curated record